Molecule: long non-coding RNA, 3600 nt
Organism: Neofelis nebulosa (Clouded leopard)
Lineage: Eukaryota; Metazoa; Chordata; Mammalia; Carnivora; Felidae
Exons: 2
Source: RefSeq, a predicted model, not a curated record
CUCUGCUCUCCUCCCUCCUCCUCCUCCUCUUCCCCGUUUUUUUUCCUAGUGUGGUUUGAGUUGGCUUUCUACCCUUAAAAUGCAGAGUUCUGACAAAUAUAAUGACAUUUGCUCAAAGAAUUGCCAUUAUCUCUUUCAUGCUAAAUAGGAAAAAAAAAAAAGUAGUGUAUUCUAGGCCUCCAUUAAAAAUGGAGGAUAAAUGUCCGGAAAAAGAAAUAAAAAUUACAAUUUUGGGAGAGGAUCCCUGAGGUAUUUUCCAUGUCCUAGGAUUCUUUUUAGUGAUGCUACAGAGAAUACUGUAUUGAGAGUAAACUUCUAUUUAGAUAUGCAAAGAAGAAUAGCAGUAUAAUUUUCAUUAAAAACAUCAGCCAUAUUUAGCUCUGAAUAAAUAUAUAAAAGGUACAGAGGAUAAAAUUACAUUUGCAGUUAUUUGUGGACUGAAUCUUUACUGUCUCUGCUUUUUAAAAUUUUUUUAAAAAUUUACUUGUUUUGAGAGAGCAAGCACAAGCAGGGAAGGGAUAGAGGGAGAGAGGGAAUCCCGGGCAGUGUUUACACCAUCAUUGCAGAGCCUAACACAGGGCUUGAACUCCCAAACCAUGAGAUCAUGGCCCGAGCUGAGAUCAAGAGUCAGGCGCUUAACUCACUGAACCACCCAGGUGCCCCUAACGUCUCUACUUCUUAAGAAUCUCAGAGUGAGUAAGGCCUAACUGGCCUGAAGCUUCAGGGCUGACCCAGGAUGCGAGCUGGAGGACCAGGAGUGUACUGAGUCAGUGUCAGCAUUCUGAGCUGGUAAAAAUGGUGUUUGUGUGCUCCAUUGGGAUGGUGAGUUGAGAUAGGGGCUGGAGAGCUCAGUAUGGCCACAUUCAUAUAAAAGUUUACAAUUUGAUUAGGAUUUGAAAACAUGUUAAGGAAGGAAAAAUUCCCCUUAAAAUCAUCCUGGUCACUGAAUAGUGUGGUAGGAAGAAAUGAUCUCUUAUAAGCUGAGAAGCCCAGAAAAAAUGUAGUCAUUGUUCCAAGUUCCAGCACAGCUUUAUCUAGAGAAUAGUGCACACACUCCUACCAUUUGUAUUUGUUUUCUUCUUUUGGUGUGCAUUAGUUUUUAAAUUUUACCCGAGACUGGAAAAGUUGUUUAUGUGGGUGUGUAAGAGUUGUGUUUUUAAAAUAGGUGAGAAUCCUGUGGAUUGACUUAACUAAUUUUCUUUGCAAGUGGUUGCAUAGGAGAAUCGAAUGCAAGUCCUUCUACUUAUGUCAGAUUUAAAUAAUGCCUUAAUAUAAUAUAAUGUCUUAAAUAUUGAAUUGUCUUUUUAUACUACAGUUUGUCCCAUGAUUCCUUUAACAUAGCUCAUAAAGUUGUACAAAAGAGUGAGAUUGAGAUUCUUUACUGUCAGGCACUUCCUUCAUUUAGCAUUUAUUUAAAAAAUUUGAAUACCAGUCCUGUGUAAGACACUAUGGCAAAUACAAAGGGUACAAGAAAUAGUUUAUGCCUUAAACCAGUUAUAUUCUCAGAGAUUUAAAAUCUUUACACAAGUAUCUAUUACUCAGAGCAUUGUAUAUUAAGUGUAUUUGUUGAGUAUAAGCUAAGUGAUUUAAGGUCUGAGAGUAUCAUUGAAGUCCAUUUGGGGUGUUGAUUUUAUGUGUCAACUUGAUUGGGCCAUGGAGUGCCCAGAUACUUGAUCAAACAUUAUUCUGGGUGUUUCUAUGACCGUGUUUUUGGAUGAGAUUAGCAUUUAAAUACAUAGACUGAGUAAAGCAAAUUGCCUCUCUAGCAUGGGUGGGCCUCAUCCAAUCAGUUGAAGGCCUGAAUAGAACAAAAGGAUGACCCUCAACCCAGUAAAAAAGAAUCAUUUCCUGCCUGCCUUCAGACUGGGACAUCAGCGUUUUUCCUACAGAUUCAAAUGGAAAGAUCAGCUUUUUCUGGGUCUCAAGCUUGCUGGUGUACAGACAGGAACUACACCAUCAACUCUCCUGGUUCUCAGGCCUUCCAACUCAGACUGGAACUAAACCAUCAGCUCUCUUGGGUCUCUAGUUUGCUGACUCACCCUGCAGAUCUUGGGACUUGCCAGCCUCCUUAAUUUUUCAACCAGUUCCUUAUAAUAAAUGCCUUUAUUUAUUUCCUCUUAAUUUUGUUUCUCUGGGGAACUCUGACUAAUCUAGAGCAACUCAGAAAGGUAUCAUGGAGGAGGUGGAAUUAAACCACAGGUUAAACUAUUGCAUAAGCAAGAUUUCACGAGGUGAAGAUGUUAAAGGAACACUAUAGGUAGAGGAAAUUGCAUAUCUGAUGGGAGCAAUCUCAAGUAGUAUUAAUUUGACUUGGAUUUUAGACUGUCUCUACUGCUGUUUUGCAUUUCAAAAGCAUUGUGGGAGAAUGCUAGUUUAACCACAACCUACUGGAUGGUGUGUAUGUACCUUUUUUUUUUGACUGUAGCAGGUGGGUUGAUUAUUGGGUAAAGAGGAGGACUGCUUUCUCAGCAGCCUGGUUAAUCUUCCCUGUGAUCAUUUUUCAUUACUUUGCCAUGCUCUUAGCUCCUUAGUGCCAGGGGAGGGGAUGGUUAGAUAUUUAGAAUGGCGGACUGUAUAAAGUUUGUAAGUGUGUGUGUGUGUGUGUGUGUGUGUUGGUCUUGGCAGGUUUGCAAAGUCGACAUGAUUGUAUUCUUCCUUUGGUCCUAUUUUUUUUCUAUUUUUUUGUUAACGUUUAUUCAUUUUUCAGAGAAAGUGCAAGCAGGGGUGGGGUAGAGAGAGAGAGGGAGACACAGACUCCAAAGCAGGCUCCAGGCUCUGAGCUGUCAGCACAGAGCCCAAUGUGGGGGCUCAAACUCACAAACCAUGAGAUCAUGACCUGAGCUGAAGUCAGAUGCUUAACCAACUGAGCCACCCAGGUGCCCCACUUUGGUCCAAUUUUAAAUUUGCUUUUCUGUUUGUGGAUGUAAGUUACAGAAAGGCAAGGUUUAUAUAGCUUUGAAAUUCAUGUUUAUUACUGAGCUCUUGAAAUAUGGCUAGUGUGAAUAGAAUUUUUUAGUUUUAUUUAAUUUUAGUUUAAAUUGCCACAAAUGGCUAGUGGCCACUCUAGGGGAUGGUACACUUCUAGAGUUCAAGUAGUUUUGAUGUCUUUCUAGAACACUCUGUGGAAGUUAGAAAGGCUGUAAUAUUUUCAUUCACAUAUAGUAAAAUACAUAUUAAGAAUAGAAUAUUUUAAAUUUGUAGAUGUGUUAUUGGUGGUUGCAUGGUAAAUGAAUUUUGAUUCUGGCAGUUAUCUAGUAAAAUUAGGUGUUAGUUGAUUGGCCUAUACUUUGCGUAAUACCAAAUACUAGUAUGUGAAUGUUAGAAAGCAAUAUAUUUAUUAACAAUAGGAUUAGUAAAAUGAUAAAAGGAAAAGGGCUAUGUGAUAAAAGGUGAAAGAAUAAGGACAGGAGAGGGAGAAAAAUCUAGGAAAGUCUAGGUGGAGAUAGUUUGGCAAAAAAAAAUCUGUACCAACUGUUAGAGUAAAAGGAGACCUCCAAUAAAAAACACUUUUGUAGCUCUUUCUGCCCACAGGUCCUGUCCCUGUGCGUUAUUAAAAAAACCUUUUUGCACCAAAAAAACCAAAAAAACAAAAACCAAAAA